UUGACCUCAAAUCAGGUAGGACUACCCGCUGAACUUAAGCAUAUCAAUAAGCGGAGGAAAAGAAACUAACAAGGAUUCCCCUAGUAACUGCGAGUGAAGCGGGAAAAGCUCAAAUUUAAAUCUGGCGGUCUUGCGGCCGUCCGAGUUGUAAUCUGGAGAAGCGUUUAUCCGCGUCGGACCGUGUACAAGUCUUCUGGAAGGGAGCUCGUAGAGGGUGAGAAUCCC
RNAcentral lists this ribosomal RNA (225 nucleotides) under uncultured Piloderma. RNAcentral's name for it is "partial 28S ribosomal RNA". It matches the Rfam family "Eukaryotic large subunit ribosomal RNA", at positions 1 to 222 of the family's 3401-position model. Lineage: Eukaryota; Fungi; Basidiomycota; Agaricomycetes; Atheliales; Atheliaceae. The record is from RNAcentral.